CCUACGGGAGGCAGCAGUGAGGAAUAUUGGUCAAUGGCCGUAAGGCUGAACCAGCCAAGUCGCGUGAAGGAAGAAGGAUCUAUGGUUUGUAAACUUCUUUUAUAGGGGAAUAAAGGUAUCCACGUGUGGAUAUUUGCAUGUACCCUAUGAAUAAGCAUCGGCUAACUCCGUGCCAGCAGCCGCGGUAAUACGGAGGAUGCGAGCGUUAUCCGGAUUUAUUGGGUUUAACGGGUGCGUAGGUUGUUUUUUAAGUCAGCGGUGAAAGUUUGUGGCUCAACCAUAAAAUUGCCGUGGAAACUGGAAGACUUGAGUGUGUUUGAGGUAGGCGGAAUGCGUGGUGUAGCGGUGAAAUGCAUAGAUAUCACGCAGAACUCCGAUUGCGAAGGCAGCUUACUAAGCCAUAACUGACACUGAAGCACGAAAGCGUGGGGAGCAAACAGGAUUAGAUACCCCUGUAGUC
RNAcentral lists this ribosomal RNA (460 nucleotides) under uncultured bacterium. RNAcentral's name for it is "partial 16S ribosomal RNA". It matches the Rfam family "Bacterial small subunit ribosomal RNA", at positions 338 to 795 of the family's 1533-position model. The record is from RNAcentral.